This 389-nucleotide ribosomal RNA is filed under the name uncultured Verrucariaceae. RNAcentral describes it as "SSU rRNA". It matches the Rfam family "Eukaryotic small subunit ribosomal RNA", at positions 194 to 583 of the family's 1831-position model. The record is from RNAcentral. Lineage: Eukaryota; Fungi; Ascomycota; Eurotiomycetes; Verrucariales.
GGAAGGGGUGUAUUUAUUAGAUAAAAAACCAAUGCCCUUCGGGGCUCCUUGGUGAUUCAUAAUAACUUGACGAAUCGCAUGGCCUUGCGCCGGCGAUGGUUCAUUCAAAUUUCUGCCCUAUCAACUUUCGAUGGUAAGAUAGUGGCUUACCAUGGUCUCAACGGGUAACGGGGAAUUAGGGUUCUAUUCCGGAGAGGGAGCCUGAGGAACGGCUACCACAUCCAAGGAAGGCAGCAGGCGCGCAAAUUACCCAAUCCCGACACGGGGAGGUAGUGACAAUAAAUACUGAUACAGGGCUCUUUUGGGUCUUGUAAUUGGAAUGAGUACAAUCUAAAUCCCUUAACGAGGAACAAUUGGAGGGCAAGUCUGGUGCCAGCAGCCGCGGUAAU